RNAcentral lists this ribosomal RNA (900 nucleotides) under uncultured Bacillota bacterium. Its description in RNAcentral is "bacterial SSU rRNA". It matches the Rfam family "Bacterial small subunit ribosomal RNA", at positions 58 to 960 of the family's 1533-position model. The record is from RNAcentral. Lineage: Bacteria; Bacillati; Bacillota.
CAAGUCGAGUGCGCGCCUGUAGCAAUACAGGUGGCGCACGGCGCACGGGUGCGUAACACGCUGGGCAAUCUGCCCUCUGAUGGGGAAUAACCCGCCGAAAGGCGGGCUAAUACCGCAUAAAAUUCCUUGGACUCAUGUUCGAGGACUCAAAGGCGUAAGUCGUCNGAGGAGGAGCCCGCGCACGAUUAGCUAGUUGGUAGGGUAAUGGCCUACCAAGGCUUUGAUCGUUAGCUGGUCUGAGAGGAUGGCCAGCCACACUGGAACUGAGACACGGUCCAGACUCCUACGGGAGGCAGCAGUGGGGAAUCUUGCACAAUGGGCGAAAGCCUGAUGCAGCGACGCCGCGUGGGGGAUGAAGCAUCUCGGUGUGUAAACCCCUUUCGAUCCGGACGAAUACCUCGCAAGAGGGGUGACGGUACGGAUAUAAGAAGCCCCGGCUAACUACGUGCCAGCAGCCGCGGUAAGACGUAGGGGGCCAGCGUUGUUCGGAAUUACUGGGUGUAAAGGGUUCGUAGGCGGUGUGGCAAGUUGGGAGUGAAAUCUCUGGGCUCAACCCAGAGGCUGCUUCCAAAACUGCUGUGCUUGAGUGUGAGAGAGGCUCGUGGAAUUGCAGGUGUAGCGGUGAAAUGCGUAGAUAUCUGCAGGAACACCCGUGGCGAAAGCGGCGAGCUGGAUCACUACUGACGCUGAGGAACGAAAGCUAGGGGAGCAAACAGGAUUAGAUACCCUGGUAGUCCUAGCCCUAAACGAUCAGGACUUGGGGUGCCACCCGUUCGGGUGUCGUCCCGGAGCUAACGCGUUAAGUCCUGCACCUGGGGAGUACGGUCGCAAGACUGAAACUCAAAGGAAUUGACGGGGGCCCGCACAAGCGGUGGAACAUGUGGUUCAAUUCGACGCUAC